This 1222-nucleotide long non-coding RNA is filed under the name Homo sapiens (human). Its description in RNAcentral is "HSALNT0046166". The record is from RNAcentral. Lineage: Eukaryota; Metazoa; Chordata; Mammalia; Primates; Hominidae.
CAAGAACCAAUGUGAAUCUUAGAACUACUUAGAUUUUUUUUUUUUUUACCCUUUUUUUUUUCUAUAAGAAAACCAGUUACCGCUAUAUAAGGUAACAGGCUGAUCCUGCGUGGCUGGAUGCGAGGGAAGUCUCCACUUGGGGAUACAGCUACUAUCUUAUUAAGGAAGUGGGUGGGGUUUAUACAUGUAGCAGCUGUGGAAAUGGGGAGAUCUCCAAGUGCAAGGUAACCCAAAGUCAAGAGUAGAGUUUUGUAGUCCAGCCCCUGCCACCACAUGGAAAUUCUCCUCCACUACCGGCCUUUGGAGAGGAGUCAAGCUAAGCCAAAGGAGAGUUGAACUCAAGGGCAAAACCCUUAAGGCCAAUCUCCAUGUACAGAGGGGAAAUUGACCCUGUUUGAGCUACUGAGCCCGCUGGGAUUUGUCUGAACCCAGACCUGUCUCCCACAGCCAAUUUACACCUCUUAUCUGAUCAUCCAGUCCAGACGGAAGGGUGAAUUGACCGAGAAUCUGCGCGUGUCCAUGGCAAUGGCGUUAAAACCCAAGCAUAGAUCAAAGCUCUCCAGACGAGGAGGGGAGGGGUAGAUGGUUAUGGGGUCUGGGUUCUUUUGGCCCCAAGCGAUGUGUCCCGGAGGUGGGGACAUUAGGCCUGGGAGUUGCCACCAUUUGAAGAAACCCAUUGUCAGGACUUGAAUGAUUUUCUGAGCAAAACCCAGUCCCCCCGCAGAUCAUGAUUAACUCUAGCAAAGGGGACGUUCGUAGUGGGCGCUGAUCGGGAAUGGCUAGCGCCAGGGGGCUCUCCUCUCUGUCUGAAACCGAAAGAACAGGAAGUGGAGGGAGGGGAGCCGAGCAGGGAGCACACGCCAAUAAACCUGAGCGUGGAUCUCCUAUCUUUUAGAAGAAAUUCAGCCGGAGCCGCAGAAGCCGCAACGCAUAUGGGCAAGAUCCCCUAAAACUUGGUCUGGAAAGCUGAUUCCCGAAGGUUCCCCAACCCAGAUGAUUCCCAGAGGGGCGACAAGUCUAUUCCAAAUCCCUCCCCCACCUCCAAACACUAGGGCUACCGGCGCCCGCCACCCAGCCGCUGGACGCCUGCGACCCGGUGGGAAAGACCCCCGGCACAGCCAGCCCGAGUCGAAGGGCGGGGGCAGCCCUUCAAUCAGAGCGCGCCUUGCCUCCAUUAACUUGUGUUGAUAUUAAAAAGAAAUCAAUCAGUGAAAAUGAAGCA